RNAcentral lists this ribosomal RNA (459 nucleotides) under uncultured bacterium. RNAcentral's name for it is "partial 16S ribosomal RNA". It matches the Rfam family "Bacterial small subunit ribosomal RNA", at positions 338 to 795 of the family's 1533-position model. The record is from RNAcentral.
CCUACGGGAGGCAGCAGUGAGGAAUAUUGGUCAAUGGUCGGGAGACUGAUCCAGCCAAGCCGCGUGAGGGAUGAAGGUACAGAGUAUCGUAAACCUCUUUUGUCAGGGAACAAAGGCGGGGACGUGUCCCCGAAUGAGUGUACCUGAAGAAAAAGCAUCGGCUAACUCCGUGCCAGCAGCCGCGGUAAUACGGAGGAGGCGAGCGUUAUCCGGAUGUAUGGGGUUAAAGGGGUGCGCAGGCGGUGUGUUAAGCUAGCGCUAAAAGCCCGGGGCCCAACCCCGGCCCGCCGUUGAAACUGGCAGGCUCGAGUUGGAGAGAGGUAUGCGGAAUGCGCGGUGUAGCGGUGAAAUGCAUAGAUAUCGCGAAGAACACCGGUUGCGAAGGCAGCAUGCCGGCUCCAAACUGACGCUGAGGCACGAAAGCGUGGGUAUCGAACAGGAUUAGAUACCCCAGUAGUC